ACCUGGGUGGCUCAGUCGGUUGAGCACCCGACUUCAGCUCAGGUCGUAAUCUCAUGGUUCGUGGGUUCGAGCCCCACGUCAGGCU
Molecule: transfer RNA, 85 nt
Filed under: Felis catus (domestic cat)
Lineage: Eukaryota; Metazoa; Chordata; Mammalia; Carnivora; Felidae
Rfam family: tRNA
About the family: Transfer RNA (tRNA) molecules are approximately 80 nucleotides in length.
Source: Rfam by way of RNAcentral